RNAcentral lists this ribosomal RNA (350 nucleotides) under uncultured Pseudomonas sp. RNAcentral's name for it is "bacterial SSU rRNA". It matches the Rfam family "Bacterial small subunit ribosomal RNA", at positions 1032 to 1382 of the family's 1533-position model. Lineage: Bacteria; Pseudomonadati; Pseudomonadota; Gammaproteobacteria; Pseudomonadales; Pseudomonadaceae. The record is from RNAcentral.
UACAAGGUGCUGCAUGGUUGUCGUCAGCUCGUGCCGUGAGGUGUCGGGUUAAGUCCCAUAACGAGCGCAACCCUAUCAUUAGUUGCCAUCAGGUCAAGCUGGGGACUCUAAUGAAACUGCCUACGCAAGUAGUGAGGAAGGUGGGGAUGACGUCAAGUCAUCAUGGCCCUUACGGCCUGGGCUACACACGUGCUACAAUGGUCGGUACAAAGGGUUGCCAAGCCGCGAGGUGGAGCUAAUCCCAUAAAACCGAUCGUAGUCCGAAUCGCAGUCUGCAACUCGACUGCGUGAAGUCGGAAUCGCUAGUAAUCGUGAAUCAGAAUGUCACGGUGAAUACGUUCCCGGGCCUU